AUACGUAGGUGACAAGCGUUAUCCGGAUUUACUGGGCGUAAAGGGCGUGUAGGCGGUCUUGCAAGUCAGAAGUGAAAUUCCUGAGCUCAACUCGGGCGCUGCUUCUGAAACUGCAGGACUUGAGUGCUGGAGGGGAUAGCGGAAUUCCUAGUGGAGCGGUAAAAUGCGCAGAUAUUAGGAAGAACACCGGUGGCGAAGGCGGAUAGCUGGAAAGUAACUGACGCAGAGGCGCGAGAGCGGGGGGAGCAAACAGGAGUAGAUACCCGGGUGGUCCACGCCGUAAACGAUGAAUACUAGGUGUAGGGGGUAUCGACGCCCUCUGUGACGCAGUUAACACAAUAAGUAUUCCGCCUGGGGAGUACGGCCGCAAGGUUGAAACUCAAAUGAAUUGACGGGG
RNAcentral lists this ribosomal RNA (397 nucleotides) under uncultured bacterium. RNAcentral describes it as "partial 16S ribosomal RNA". It matches the Rfam family "Bacterial small subunit ribosomal RNA", at positions 523 to 918 of the family's 1533-position model. The record is from RNAcentral.